This 347-nucleotide ribosomal RNA is filed under the name uncultured Anaerolineaceae bacterium. RNAcentral's name for it is "bacterial SSU rRNA". It matches the Rfam family "Bacterial small subunit ribosomal RNA", at positions 1025 to 1381 of the family's 1533-position model. The record is from RNAcentral. Lineage: Bacteria; Bacillati; Chloroflexota; Anaerolineae; Anaerolineales; Anaerolineaceae.
CGGGAGCUGUCAGGUGCUGCAUGGCUGUCGUCAGCUCGUGUCGUGAGAUGUUCGGUUAAGUCCGCUAACGAGCGCAACCCUCGCUGUGUGUUACAAGUGUCACACGGAACUGCCGGUCAUAAACCGGAGGAAGGUGGGGAUGACGUCAAGUCAGCAUGGCCUUUAUAUCCUGGGCUACACACACGCUACAAUGGGAAGGGACAAUAGGUUGCGAAGCCGCGAGGCGGAGCCAAUCCAGCAAAACUUCCCUCAGUUCAGAUUGCAGGCUGCAACUCGCCUGCAUGAAGUUGGAGUUGCUAGUAAACCGCACGGUCAGCCAUUACUGCGUUGAAUACGUUCCCGGGCUU